This is an RNA transcript of Sorghum bicolor (sorghum), 1486 nucleotides long. RefSeq lists it as uncharacterized. The transcript is spliced from 3 exons. The record is from RefSeq and is a predicted model, not a curated record. Lineage: Eukaryota; Viridiplantae; Streptophyta; Magnoliopsida; Poales; Poaceae.
CUCCCUCCACCAGCCGCCACCCACACCCACACUCUCCCAGUUCUCUCCCUUCCAGCAGGUGCCACGCACAUCCCACGCCACACUAGCGGACGCGGCCUGGAGCAGGCGGCUCCCGUAGAUGCGGCAUGGUGGCGCGGCGGUAGAUGUGGCCUGGUGGCGCGUGACUCCGAGAUCUGGGCAGAGGCAGCCUGGUAGUGCUGCUCCGGGUAGAUGCAACGGCUUGGAGGCGUGCAGCUCUGGGCGGACGCUGCCCUGCCUAGCAGCAUGCUGCUCCGGCACAUGCAGAGGCAUGGUGACGUGUAGCUCUGGCGUGACAAGCUCUGCCAGGAUGCUGGCGAUGACGGCCUUCUCUGUGGUUAGAUUUGGCAGAGGUCUUCUCAUGCCUUUGUUUUUGGGAGACCAGAGGUUUUGAAUUUCUUCUGAAUUAGCAGCAGUUCAAUGGUGUUGGCUUUGCAUCUGUUAACCGGCAACAGCAACAUGAUUCUGUAUUUUUUAAUAUGAAUUCAGUUCAGCAUCAAUAAAAACAUAAAUUUGACAAGCUCGGAGAACACUCUAAAAAUCAUACUCGAUACUAAAGUUAUACAUGUUAUUCUUGUAUAUAUUUUUCAAUGAAGUGUUCAAUAGAUGAUUAGCUAUACUAUUGUGGUGAUAUUUUGUCCCAGGUUAUCUAACACCCAAGAAACUGUGCAUUCUCAUAGUGUUAUGAAUAAUAAUUUUAGGCUAUUUACAGUGAUAUGUUCUGCAUGUAAUGCAGUAGUGUAGAUUUUAAUAUACUUAAUUCUGUAGUUCACCAUUAAACUAUAAAUUUGCUGGUGGUCUCUUGUAUUCUGGAUGCAUAUAGCCAUCGGCCAAAGUCUAGAUUAAAGAUGUAGUUCAGUGUACUGCUCCUAGUUAAAUUAAUCUUUGGAAGUUCAGUAUACUACAACUGCUUAUUAAUUCGACCAUAGGUAGUCACGGAGCUGCUUCUAGUUAGCAUGGUUAGUUAGCUCCUACUGUUGUGAUGUCACUUGUAAUAAAUUGAUGGCAAGUGUACUACUAUUUCCUGCUUGUAGCCCUCUAUUUUUCCAUCUACACUUUCUGUAGGGAUUUAAGCAUCAUAUAUGUAUGACAAAUAAAUCUGACGAUGACUGCUAUCUAUUGUGCAACUACAGGCCAUUUGGAAUAGGUUUCAGCACUAGUUUGAGGCAGUCGCUAUGCUUUCAAUCACUGUUCUAUCUAACUAGUGAGUUUUGAGAAGAGAAUUGGUGGAUAAAACAAUAUUGGAGAAGUGCUUGACCAAGGAACAUCAUUUCACCAAGGCGGUUGCAUUGCUUAUUUGCUUAUCGCGGCAUGGUGGAUAGACAAUGUUAGCUGUUUGAAUUAGUGUAGUUUUUAAAUUGAUUCAUCAUCAAUUUGUAAAUCUUUUUAUAUAAACAUAUUUGACCAAAUGGUUGUAAAUCUAUAAUUCAGAAUGCUAUAAUGAAAUUUCACCAUAUUUGUCAUUCAA